Long non-coding RNA from Dreissena polymorpha, 4609 nucleotides. RefSeq lists it as uncharacterized. The record is from RefSeq and is a predicted model, not a curated record. The transcript is spliced from 5 exons. Lineage: Eukaryota; Metazoa; Mollusca; Bivalvia; Myida; Dreissenidae.
CGAAAAGUUAUAGCUGUAGUUAUGGUAACGCUAACAGUCAUUUGUUGCUGUUGGACAUCACAACAAAUAUCAUGAAGAAUAAAACGUUCAAUAACUUUUUCCAAUCUUUAUGGGACAAACAGAAAUUGAACGGGAAAAAAUCAAGGAACAAUAAAAGCGUAAGCUUUCCUAGUGGGAUACUUCUGCUGUUGAUAGUUAGGAUGAUAGUAGUUAUACGGACUGCCCCAGAUUGUCCUCUCAGCGGCUGAAAUAUCAUAAUAGAACAGACUUUUGGCAAUGUUACUGACACAGAAAGGUGGUAAUGACUUGGUUGUGAACACCCAGAGCGCGAUACAUCAAUGCUGACACAGAAAGGCAGUAAUGACUUGGUUGUGAACACCUCGAGCACGAUACAUCCAUGCUGACACAGAAAGGCAGUAAUGACUUGGUUGUGAACACCCAGAGCAUGAUAAAUCCAUGCUGACAUAGAAAGGCAGUAAUGACUUGGUUGUGAAAUCCCAGAGCACGAUACAUCCUUGGGGUGUGCAUCAGAAGCGAAUUCUGCAUAUUAUUGUAAACAAGUUGCUAACAGUGAACACGUCUGGUUUGGUUAUGAGCACUUCCCACUCAGAGCCCAAAGGUCCUCGCAUUGAAUCGAUGCAAACGAAGACUUUAUAAAAUGACAGCAGUUGUGUUGUGAUGUCCAGAAAUCCUUUCAACUGUCAACCUGAAGUUUAUCAAAACUCAAACUCAGCCCUUUGCAAAAUCACACCUUGCAACACAGUGUACUAUACCAUGAAUGUUUCGCGGUUUAAAACACCAAAAUUUCAAUUUAAAAUUAGUGCGUGUAACAUAUUGAUACAUUGCUAUUCUGAGUUCUAAUUGCGAUAUCCUAAAUAUCAAUAAUAGAUGAAAUGUUUGGCAUUAAAAAAACAGGUGUGUAAAGUAAUUUGUUACAGUGCAUAUUUAUUUGUCACUAAAAAAUCAGGGUUUAGUUUGCUUGUCAUUUCAUUUUUAGCAAACAUUAUUAGACAACAAAACGAACGUCGUUUAAGUGAAAUUCCAAGACAAUUACGACCCAGUUUGGGCACAAAUACAACAACUAAUUAAAGAAAUUCAGUUUUUCUUGCGUCAGCCUACAUGUAGCAAGCCUCUUAUAAACAUGUCCCAAGUUGGCUUCAUCAACGCUUCCAACAGCGGAGUUGGGCAUCGACACAUUGUUCCGAACGAAUCGCUCGAACUGAACUGAUCUGAUCCAACAGAGAGCAGGCUCUGCGUGACUCGUCUGUUAAUGUGACUGACCUCGAUAUGUUGCUUUCCAAUAAUGUGAGCCUUACUCCAGAUUAGCUGUCUGCGAUUGACGCAAUUCAACAACAGUUGUUGUCAGGAAUUCCCGGCUUUGCCUGUUCCUACAGGAUCCCAUGCAAUCAUAGAUCGGUACCUAGCUGAACAACAGGCAGACCUGGUCAGCUGGGCCCAGACGCCCAGUGAAACUUCCUGGCCCAGGACCUUCGGGCAAAUGCUCAACUAGUCCUACCCGCAGGGUGGAGCCACACUGAACCUGGGGCUCCAUACUUUCUUGGCCAGGGGCCAAGAUUACCUUGUCAAUAAGGGACACAUUUCUGGGAUGCCCUAAGGUUUUUCUAUCUGUUCACAGAGGCCUUAUACUCACAAGUUCAAGCCAAGUGAGCGAUGUUCACCAAAUCAAACUCUACAUCUCAAUAAAAACCCGGAUAGCAAAGCGUUGGUUUGUUUUUGAAGCAUUUGAACCAGCAACAGUCAUCAUUGGAGUUUCUGACAUGUCUAUGGUGUGGAACCCUUAGUCUAUGAACAUCAUAACAGCACAUGAACCAGCAGCAGUCAUCAUCUCAAGAUUCUGGUAUAUCCAAUGUACAGGACCCUUAGUCUGUACAGAUCUUGCAGAACAAACUUCAGAUGCACUUUGAGGAAAUCAAACCAUCCAAUCAGAAACACAGCCUGUUGCAGCAAUUGUUAACAUAUUGACCCCAGUCAAACCUAAGAAGCUCAGAGUUACAUACCGUUAAGAUGUGCUAGUCUUCACAUACCUGCUGGUUUGUUCAAAACUUACUCUGAAUCUUUGAAUGUAAUGACAGAUGAAAAUGAAUGACCUUGUUCAGAUCCAAAUGGCAGAAUGACACAUCACAACAAUUCAAGUGGAAAGCCACAAAGUCAUGUCAACAGCCACAUGUUGUAUGUUGCCAGCCAAGUUGUAUUAAAAAACACAAUAGCUUACGUUUUAUGUUAUAUGUGACCAACCAAGUUAUAUUCAUACAAAAACAAUAGUUCAUGUUUUAUGGGAAUUUUUAUGCUGUCAGUCUUUAUGUUGAAAUAUUGUGUUCAAUAUAGCAUGUUAAGUAUUUUAAAAGCACGCAUAUUGCACGUAUAUGCAAUCUCUUUGUCUAUAUUAUGAUAUCACUACAUAUGUGAUCCUGAUAAUGGUAAACUAAUGGGAAAUACACUUUUAUCAAAGACUUUCAAAGUGUGACAAAGCUGUUUAAAUGAGGUUGGUAACUUGGACAACAUUAAACAUGUUUCAGUUUUCUGUUUUAAACCCAUAUUAUAGAUAAGCUAGAUAAAAGUAGUAUAAAGAAAGGUUUAGAAGUUUUACGCUUCAGCUUUUUCUGUUUAUCAAUCUUUCUUAAAAAAAUACUAGUAAAUUUGCUCAUUUGGGUGGGUAUUCGAACAAGAAUCUUGUUUAAUAGCAUUCGUGGAAAUCUAAAUAAAUUAUAUGCACACUUUUGUAAUGAACCUAAAAGUAUCGAUUAUGUAUUUACCACCAGUACUUUGUUGAUUUCAAUGGAUAUUGUUUGUUAAAUAUUCGAGAAUGGCUCUUGCAUUUUUGGGAAAACUUUAAGGAAAACUGAAAAUUUAAAAAUAUAUAUUUUUUUAGAGUUUUAUGAAAAAAUUGCAAAAGUUAUAAAUGUUAAUUUGUGUUGUUAGAUCAUAGACUAAGAUGCUCAUAAGUGUUUAAAUUUAUUUUCGGACAUAAUACCGGUAGUUUAUAAUGCUUUAUAUUUGUAUAUGCAUAUGAAGACGACCUAAAUGUAUCCUCUUUAAUCACUGAGUAUCUUAAUCAAUAUCUCUUGAUCACUGCAUACAUUGUAGAAGUAUAUUUUGACAUUUAUACACAGAGCAACUGUGAAACAAUAGUAUUUUAAAUGUACACUAUUUAUUUAUUGUUGCAAUUUUUAUGAGAUAAACUCACUGUUUACAUUAAUUUGUACAAACCAUAGUCAUAAAAAUAUUGAUUGUGUGAAUCCUCAUAUAUGUAUUAAACUGUUAAAAUAAUGCACAGUAACAGAUUCUGAAGAGAAAAUUGUACUCAAUGAAAUAUAAACACCUUGUUAUAUCAACUGCUUUUAAUAAAGUACAACUACUUAAAAUAAGUUUAAUUUUGUUUUACAUUAUCUAAAGAAAAUUUAGUACCUUGUUAUUUGAAAUUAGUCAUUCACAAAUUAAGGAAGAGUGUUGUCAUAUGCUAACAAUUGUCAAAAAAUGCAAUUGUCUAUAUUGGUAAAGUAGAGAGCAAUAGUAUUUGCUUAAAAAAAUAAAAACAACGAUGUCUGCUUUGUAAGUGUAUGUGGAAUAAACACUUAUGUUUGUGCUCAUAUUAAACGUGAAAGUAUUGACGUAUUGCUGAUAAUAAAGUUUGACAUUUUAUUAGUUUUGUAACAAUGUGUUUGAUCUUUUAUGUUAACAUUCUCACAAUUGAUGUCAGUGCAGUGCCUUCAAUGGAGCCAUUUUCUGUAAAUCUCCCACUGUUAAAGUUCAGCAAAAGUUUUAAGACCAGAUUUCCUUAAACUUGGGGUUGUUUAUAUUUAACAUUUAUUGAAUGCAUGAAACAUGUUUGUUCUGUUGUUGAAUAGCUGAACAUUGAUGUAUGUAAAUUGUGUGACAUGUUGAUCAAAUUGAUACAUAGAAACAAACACUCAUUAUGCGUUAAUUUGUAUGUUAAGCUAAACAAAAAAUGUUACCAAACACAAAUAUAAGUAUUUGGUAACAAUAUACAAAAUUGUGCUAUAUUCGUAAAACCGUAUCAAAUGCAAUUUGAAAUAUAAUGUUCAAAUAUGUUCGUCGACUCCAAAUAAGCAUUUUGAAUAAGCAAAUUAAUACAUUAAUAAUCCCUAUGGAAAGUACCCGUAGGCACUUUUCAAUCGCUUGUGUACUUCAUAUUGAUCAGGGUCUUUCUAAAUUCAUGCAUGAUUUUGUAUGCGUAUGUCUGAAUUGUGUAAAUAUCUGUUAAAUAACUGAUAAAAAGGAUUUUAAUAUUAUAAGUUAAAAUAGUGUCUAAACUGUAACCGGUCAUUUGUUGCAUUGAUUUUUACGUGUUUAUAUUUUCUGGCUUACUGUGCUUAAUUCUGUCUGUAAUCGUGCGUACUUUUAUUGUGGUUUUCGUAUUAAGACAAAGCGCACUACACUAAUGCUGUUGUUUUUGUCCACCAUUUCUAUAUAAAAUGUUGUAUGUAAAUAAUUAAAGAUGUUGAUGUUGGUAAUAAUGUAUUUCAUGAUCUAAUAUUGAUCAUGCACUCAAUAAAAUACAUAACCAUUUUUGUGGACUAGUAUUGUUUAGUGAUACUUUGUUGUUAUUACUAAUAAAAUCGUCAAGGAU